Molecule: ribosomal RNA, 446 nt
Filed under: uncultured bacterium
Lineage: Bacteria
Description: SSU rRNA
Rfam family: Bacterial small subunit ribosomal RNA
Source: RNAcentral
AGAGCGAACGCUGGCGGCAGGCCUAAUACAUGCAAGUCGAACGGAUCCUUCGGGAUUAGUGGCGGACGGGUGAGUAACACGUGGGAACGUACCCUUUGGUUCGGAACAACUCAGGGAAACUUGAGCUAAUACCGAAUGUGCCCUUCGGGGGAAAGAUUUAUCGCCAUUGGAGCGGCCCGCGUCUGAUUAGCUAGUUGGUAGGGUAAAGGCCUACCAAGGCUACGAUCAGUAGCUGGUCUGAGAGGAUGAUCAGCCACACUGGGACUGAGACACGGCCCAGACUCCUACGGGAGGCAGCAGUAGGGAAUCUUGCGCAAUGGGCGAAAGCCUGACGCAGCCAUGCCGCGUGAAUGAUGAAGGUCUUAGGAUUGUAAAAUUCUUUCAGCGGGGACGAUAAUGACGGUACCCGCAGAAGAAGCCCCGGCUAACUUCGUGCCAGCAGCCGC